This 488-nucleotide ribosomal RNA is filed under the name uncultured bacterium. RNAcentral describes it as "bacterial SSU rRNA". It matches the Rfam family "Bacterial small subunit ribosomal RNA", at positions 21 to 507 of the family's 1533-position model. The record is from RNAcentral.
GGCUCAGAUUGAACGCUGGCGGCAGGCCUAACACAUGCAAGUCGAGCGAGAAAGGUCUUCGGACUGAGUACAGCGGCGGACGGGUGAGUAAUGCGCAGGAAUCUACCUGGUAGUGGGGGAUAACUCGGGGAAACUCGAACUAAUACCGCAUACGCCCUACGGGGGAAAGCGGGGGACCUUCGGGCCUCGCGCUAUCAGAUGAGCCUGCGUAGGAUUAGCUUGUUGGUGAGGUAAAGGCUCACCAAGGCGACGAUCCUUAGCUGGUCUGAGAGGAUGAUCAGCCACACUGGAACUGAGACACGGUCCAGACUCCUACGGGAGGCAGCAGUGGGGAAUAUUGCGCAAUGGGCGAAAGCCUGACGCAGCCAUGCCGCAUGUGUGAAGAAGGCCCUUGGGUUGUAAAGCACUUUCAAUUGGGAAGAAAGGUUGCGUGUUAAUAGCACGUAGCUGUGACGUUACCUUUAGAAGAAGCACCGGCUAACUCCGUG